GGAGGGCUACGGUAACUGGCAACCGGACGGUCUUGAAAACCGUUGUCCGCAAGGACUUAAGGGUUCGAGUCCCUUGCCCUCCGCCA
Molecule: transfer RNA, 86 nt
Filed under: Actinomycetota bacterium
Lineage: Bacteria; Bacillati; Actinomycetota
Description: tRNA-Ser
Rfam family: tRNA
About the family: Transfer RNA (tRNA) molecules are approximately 80 nucleotides in length.
Source: RNAcentral